GACGAACGCUGGCGGCGUGCUUAACACAUGCAAGUCGAACGGAAAGGCCCUGCUUUUGUGGGGUGCUCGAGUGGCGAACGGGUGAGUAACACGUGAGUAACCUGCCCUUGACUUUGGGAUAACUUCAGGAAACUGGGGCUAAUACCGGAUAGGAGCUCCUGCUGCAUGGUGGGGGUUGGAAAGUUUCGGCGGUUGGGGAUGGACUCGCGGCUUAUCAGCUUGUUGGUGGGGUAGUGGCUUACCAAGGCUUUGACGGGUAGCCGGCCUGAGAGGGUGACCGGCCACAUUGGGACUGAGAUACGGCCCAGACGCCUACGGGAGGCAGCAGUGGGGAAUAUUGCACAAUGGGCGGAAGCCUGAUGCAGCAACGCCGCGUGCGGGAUGACGGCCUUCGGGUUGCAAACCGCUUUCGCCUGUGACGAAGCGUGAGUGACGGUAAUGGGUAAAGAAGCACCGGCUAACUACGUG
RNAcentral lists this ribosomal RNA (468 nucleotides) under uncultured bacterium. Its description in RNAcentral is "partial 16S ribosomal RNA". It matches the Rfam family "Bacterial small subunit ribosomal RNA", at positions 28 to 507 of the family's 1533-position model. The record is from RNAcentral.